This 28-nucleotide small RNA is filed under the name Bombyx mori (domestic silkworm). RNAcentral's name for it is "ovarian small RNA-15723". The record is from RNAcentral. Lineage: Eukaryota; Metazoa; Arthropoda; Insecta; Lepidoptera; Bombycidae.
GAGAUCGCAAGACUCCGCGAGGAGUGCG